CCAGCCUGUAACCGUCUCCUUACAGAACUUGAAAGGGCUGCACCACUGCCGAGCUAUGGGACAGAUGGAUUUCAACAGAGUGAUGACAUUAUGGGAAGCACAUUAACCUUCUCCAAAGCAGCAACAAAAGAAAAGCAAGAUUCAAUCACUGGAAUGAAAAACUAUUUCACAAAUUCAGUGAAUGUUUUAAGUCCUCUAAAAUUUGGCAUUUUGACUUUUGGAAUUAAUGAGUAGGAAAAUUUAUUUAAAAUGAAUAUUCCCCCAAAAAGAGAAGCCAUUUGAACCCUAAACUCUCUCAUCCAACAGAGCUAGCAAAUUAGAUUUAAGAAGAAAGAUAAUUUGAUUCCUCUGAGUUUCUCUACAAGGAAACAUCAAUCAGAGUGAAAGAAGAAUACACACUUUCCAAGGAACUUCUUGCAUUUCCCUCCAGGAGGAAAGUCCAGAGAAAUAAUUGGGUCUUUUAAUCCUCCGAGAAUGGUCUCCAAUGGCUGGCACUAGGACCAAAAAUCUCAGCAACCACGGGGAGAUGGCAGUGUGUAUUUCACACAGAGCACAGCUCCUGAUGUCAGAGGCCUCAGCUGGGAAGACUUGAAGGCAAGGAGAGGACGGUGUGACUCAACGGCUGAGGAUUAGAAUCAUCUCCAGCAGUCUUCACUAACAUGUCUGGCAGUUGAUGCUGGCUGUCAGCAGGGACCUCAGCUGGUCUGUCAGCCAGAAAACAUACCUGUGUAUUCUCCAUGUGGUCUCCCAAUGUGGACUAGUUUCGGUUCUCACAGCAUGGCAGCUGGGUUCCAAGAGCAGACAUCCCAAGAGAGCCAGGCAGAAGUCUUAUUGCUUUUAUGACCUUGUGUUGGAAGUCACAUAGUGUCACACAGUACCACCAGAUUUAUAAGGAGGACACAAGAAACCCACAUUUCAAAUGGAAGGAGUGUCAACGUCACAUUGAAAGAGGAGCAUGUGAAAUGAAGGAUAUUGUUGCAAGCUAUUGAGAAAACACAAUCUGAUGGAGAGUAAGAGAGACAGUGAGAGACAAACUUUUAAGUCAACCUGAAAGAUGACUACCUCUAACGGCACAGCCAUAUGACAAAACAAUUUGAGGAUGCACUUAAUUUUGAAGAGUCAAAUAACCAUUGCCUAAACACAACAAUUCAUUCAGAACUAUUGAAAGCAUGCUAGGCUUCUAUACUUUGAAAGAGAAUGGACUAUCACAUAUUUUUCAAAGCCACUUCUCAAAUUAGGCAGUGCAAAGGUAACAAACAAAAUAAAGGUUUUUUCAGAUAUAUAGAUAACCAGGACUUAUCAUAAACUAGGUAAGGAGAAUAAUUCAGUCAAGCUAGCAUGUGCCUAGAAAAUGAACAAAAACAACUCUAUUUGUAAGCAUUCUGUUCUUUUUCAGGACUAAAUUGUAAAAUUCUUAUGAUUUAAAAAUAGUGGUCCUUUAUUGUGCACUCAUGUGCAAAGAGCUUUAGUGGAAUGUGCACUUUUUAAAUAUCUGAUCCUUGUAACAUUAUGAAAUUAGUAUAUUUCCCUCCAAUUUAUAGAUAAGAAAGCUAAAGCUCAGUCUAAAUAAUUUAACCAAUUCUACCUGCAUCCCAAAUUCAUGCACAUUCUAUUAUCAAAGGCUACUUUUGGUUUGUUUAUAAAAUUUUCUUCCAAAGGAUACUUAAGUUAAAAAUAACCCAGACACUUCUGGCCAGAGUUUGAAAUAGGGCCAGGUUAACUUUGAGUAUUUUUGUGAGGAUUAUGAACCAGGAGAAAAAAAAUUAAUUAAUUUGAAACGGGUGGAUAGCAGAUAUCUUAAGAUUUCUUAAUGUGACAAAACACAAAUUUUCAACAAAAAGAAAUAAAUAUUGAGAGGGAGUUCCAGAAAUCAAUAAAGACAAAAAAGUAAUAGAUAUACACAUCUGAAGUAGUCUGCAUCGAUUGGCUGGAAGAAUAAAUAUAGAUGUUAAACCAAUGUUUCUGAAGCUUAAUAUUGCCAUUUUAAAAAAAUAGACAUUUACAGGAAAAUGUUUCAGAACUUUUAACGUAGCAGACUUUUUCAUUUUUCUUUAUUCUUCUUUGACUUCUCCUUAGGUAGUGACCUGAGCCUCCCUCAGGGACAUCUUUAGAUUUGCGUCUUUCUUUUCUUUUCUUUUCUUUUCUUUUGAGAUGGGGUCUCACUCUAUCUCCCAGGCUGGAAUGCAGUGGCAGGAUCACAGAUCACUGCAACCGCCCCCUCCGGGCCUCAAAAGAUCCUCCCACCUCCGCCUCCGGCGUAGCUGGGACUACAGGCCCAUGCCAUCACAUCCUGUUAAUUUUUGUUUUUUGUUUUGUUGUUGUUGUUUUUGUUUGGUAGAGAUGAGGUUUCACCAUACUGCCUCAGCUAGUCUCAAACUCUUAUGAUCAAG
Molecule: long non-coding RNA, 2390 nt
Filed under: Homo sapiens (human)
Lineage: Eukaryota; Metazoa; Chordata; Mammalia; Primates; Hominidae
Description: HSALNT0119203
Source: RNAcentral